GUGUUCCUACGGGAGGCAGCAGUAGGGAAUCUUCCACAAUGGGCGAAAGCCUGAUGGAGCAACGCCGCGUGGGUGAAGAAGGUCUUCGGAUCGUAAAGCCCUGUUGUUAGAGAAGAAAGUGCGUGAGAGUAACUGUUCACGUUUCGACGGUAUCUAACCAGAAAGCCACGGCUAACUACGUGCCAGCAGCCGCGGUAAUACGUAGGUGGCAAGCGUUAUCCGGAUUUAUUGGGCGUAAAGGGAACGCAGGCGGCCUUUUAUGU
This 263-nucleotide ribosomal RNA is filed under the name uncultured bacterium. Its description in RNAcentral is "partial 16S ribosomal RNA". It matches the Rfam family "Bacterial small subunit ribosomal RNA", at positions 333 to 588 of the family's 1533-position model. The record is from RNAcentral.